GGGGAAUUUUGGACAAUGGGCGCAAGCCUGAUCCAGCCAUGCCGCGUGUCUGAAGAAGGCCUUCGGGUUGUAAAGGACUUUUGUUCGGGAGGAAAUCCCGCUGGUUAAUACCUGGCGGGGAUGACAGUACCGGAAGAAUAAGCACCGGCUAACUACGUGCCAGCAGCCGCGGUAAUACGUAGGGUGCAAGCGUUAAUCGGAAUUACUGGGCGUAAAGCGUGCGCAGGCGGUUGUGCAAGUCUGAUGUGAAAGCCCCGGGCUUAACCUGGGAACGGCAUUGGAGACUGCACGACUAGAGUGCGUCAGAGGGGGGUAGAAUUCCACGUGUAGCAGUGAAAUGCGUAGAGAUGUGGAGGAAUACCGAUGGCGAAGGCAGCCCCCUGGGAUGACACUGACGCUCAUGCACGAAAGCGUGGGGAGCAAACAGGA
This 429-nucleotide ribosomal RNA is filed under the name uncultured Chromobacterium sp. Its description in RNAcentral is "bacterial SSU rRNA". It matches the Rfam family "Bacterial small subunit ribosomal RNA", at positions 356 to 777 of the family's 1533-position model. The record is from RNAcentral. Lineage: Bacteria; Pseudomonadati; Pseudomonadota; Betaproteobacteria; Neisseriales; Chromobacteriaceae.